UAAAGAGUGCGUAAUAGCUCACUAGUCGAGUGGCUCUGCGCCGAAAAUGUACCGGGGCUAAACAUAUUACCGAAACUGUGGAUUUAUGCGAUAGCAUAAGUGGUAGGGGAGCGUUCUAAGGGCGACGAAGAUAGAUCGAGAGGACUAUUGGAGCGCUUAGAAGUGAGAAUGCCGGUGUGAGUAACGUAAGGUAGGUGAGAAUCCUACCCACUGAUUGACCAAGGAUUCCAGGGUCAAGUUCGUCUACCCUGGGUAAGUCAGGACCUAAGGCGAGGCUGAGAAGCGUAGUCGAUGGACAACAGGUUUAUAUUCCUGUACUAUUUAUAGGACUGAAGGAGUGACAAAGGAAGCUAGUAAGAGCCAUUUAAUGGAUUAUGGUCUAAGCACAAAGACUGAUACAUAGGAAAAUCCGUGAUAUCGAACGGUUGAAGUGUGAUGGCGAAGCAGUCUACGGACAGCGAAGUCUUAUGAGGCUAAACUUUUUAAAAAAGCUUCUAAAGAAAUGCUAUAAAUACCUGUACUAAGAACCAACGCAGGUGGUCAAGGAGAGAAUCCUAAGGUGAGCGAGAGAACUAUGGUUAAGGAACUCGGCACAAUGAUCCCGUAACUUCGGAAUAAGGGAAGGUCUUGAAAAAGACCCGCAGUGAAUAGGCCCAAGCGACUGUUUACCAAAAACACAGGUUUCUGCAAAAGCGUAAGCUGAAGUAUAGGAGCUGACGCCUGCCCAGUGCUGGAAGGUUAAGAUGAUUUGUAAGAUGGACGAAAGUCGAUAACAUCGAAGCAAUGAAUUGAAGCCCCAGUGAACGGCGGCGAUAACUAUAAUCGUCCAAAGGUAGCGAAAUUCCUUGUCAGGUAAGUUCUGACCCGCACGAAAGGCGUAACGAUUUGGGCACUGUCUCAACCAUAGACUCGGUGAAAUCUUAAUACCUGUGAAAAUGCAGGUUACCAGCGACAGGACGGAAAGACCCCAUGGAGCUUUACUGUAGCUUGAUAUUGAAAUCAGGUAGUUAAUGUAGAGGAUAGGUGGUAGACAAUGAAGUUAAGACGCUAGUCUUAAUGGAGUCGACCUUGGAAUACCACCCUUUGACUAUUUGAUUUCUAACUUGCACCCGUAAUCCGGGUGAAGGACAGUGUCUGGUGGGCAGUUUGACUGGGGCGGUCGCCUCCUAAAGAAUAACGGAGGCGCUCAAAGGUUCCCUCAGAUUGGUCGGAAAUCAAUCAAAGAGUGUAUUGGUAUAAGGGAGCUUGACUGCGAGACCAACAAGUCGAGCAGGUGCGAAAGCAGGACAAAGUGAUCAGGCGGUAGAAAAUGGAAUUGCCGUCGCUUAACGGAUAAAAGUUACCCUGGG
This 1349-nucleotide ribosomal RNA is filed under the name human gut metagenome. Its description in RNAcentral is "bacterial LSU rRNA". It matches the Rfam family "Bacterial large subunit ribosomal RNA", at positions 1124 to 2472 of the family's 2925-position model. The record is from RNAcentral.